CGCAUUUGAAGGCUUUAGGCUCAGCUUGCUGAGGAGGCAAACUCGUGCCCCUUCCCUAGCAGUACUUGCUGGAAAACUCCAUGGAUGUGGUAUUACCUGUACUGGGUCAGAGCAGUGAUCGUGGUGUUUUCUGUCGCUGUGGGACAACUGGUAUCAUUGCUGCAGAGCUUCUUGUUAACUUGGAAUAAUGACAGAUGGCUCUGUCUCAUCCAGAGGUUCGCAUAUGAAGCCAUUCAGGGAAACCGCAGUGGAAACCUAAUGCCAAAAUCAGCCCUCAAAAUCGAAUUAACCUUUAGGAAGAUCUUACAAGUAAGUGGCUUGUACCCUUCGAGGUAUUCUGUGAAUCAUUGGCAACAUGACUGGGCUAAUUUAAGCAUUUGUCGCAAAGGUAAGCUAGAGUCAAAUACAGUUCCCAAUUAGACGUGUGCAGGGGAAAGGGCAGGUAAACCUGCUCAGGUCUCUCCAGGGUGGCACUUCUGUGAGAGCCGGUUCUGGUCUGCCUUUCUGUCUUUGAUUUUCCUGUGCUGCAGCUGGGUGCUGCUCUGA
Molecule: long non-coding RNA, 546 nt
Filed under: Anser brachyrhynchus (Pink-footed goose)
Lineage: Eukaryota; Metazoa; Chordata; Aves; Anseriformes; Anatidae
Description: lncRNA (ENSABRG00000020796.1)
Source: RNAcentral